GUUUUAUCCUGAUCACAGAUUGCCAGCUGGCGGUUUUGUCAUGCAGUCGAACGGCAGCACGACUUCGUCCGUAGGCGCGGCAAUCAAUAUACAACGAACGCACGGUGGCAGGGAUAACUACGCGAGUGCAUGGCUUAUACCGUACCCAGCCCCGAAGGUGUGGGGACCUUCGUGCCUGCACUUAUUGUAGCGCGGCUGGUUAAUCGAUUGGCUAAUGAGGUAAGUAACGGCUCUCACCGGGUGCGACGAUCCCGUGCUGGUUUGAGAGACGACCUGCCGGAUGUCAGACUAAGACACAAACGCAGACUCCUACGGGAGGCAGCAGUGGGGAAUUUUGGACAAUGGGGAAACUCCUGAUCCAGCCAUCCCGCGUGCGAUGAAGGCCUUCGGGUUAAAGCACUUUUGGCAGGAAGAAAACGGCAUGGGAUAAUACCCCAGGCAACUGACGGUACCUGCAGAAUAAGCACCACCAACUACGUGCCAGCAGCCGCGGUAAUACGUAGGGUGCAAGCGUUAAUCGGAAUUACUGGGCGGCAAGCGUGCGCAGGCGGUUCGGAAAGAAAGAUGUGAAAUCCCAGAGCUUAACUUUGAACUGCAUUUUUAACUACCGAGCUAGAGUGUGUCAGAGGAGGUGGAAUUCGCGUAGCAGUGAAAUGCGUAGAUAUGCGGAGGAACACCGAUGGCGAAGGCAGCCUCCGGAUAACACUGACGCUCAUGCACGAAAGCGUGGGAGCAAACAGGAUUAGAUACCCUGGUAGUCCACGCCCCAAACGAUGUCAACUAGCUGCUGGGGCUCUCGGGCCUUGGUAGCGCAGCUAACGCGUGAAGUUGACCGCCCGGGGAGUACGGUCGCAAGAUUAAAACUCAAAGGAAUUGACGGGACCCGCACAAGCGGUGGAUGAUGUGGAUUAAUUCCGGAUGCAACGCGAAAAACCUUACUCACCCUUGACAUGUCUGGAAUCCCGAAGAGAUUUGGGAGUGCUCGCAAGAGAACCGGAACACAGGUGCUGUAUGGCCGUCGUCAGCUCGUGUCGUGAGAUGCUGGGUUAAGUCCCGCAACGAGCGCAACCCUGGUCAUUAGUUGCCACGAAAGGGCACUCUAAUGAGACUGCCGGUGACAACCAGAGGAAGGUGGGGAUGACGUCAAGUCCUCAUGGCCCUUAUGGGUAGGGCUUCACACGUCAUACAAUGGUCGGGACAGAGGGUCGCCAACCCGCGAGGGGGAGCCAAUCCCAGAAACCCGAUCGUGGGGUCCGGAUCGUAGUCUGCAACCUGACUGCGUAAGUCGGAAUCGCCAGUAAUCGCGGAUCAGCAUGUCGCGGUGAAUACGUUCCCGGGUCUUGUACACCGCCCGUCACACCAUGGAGUGGGUUUUACCAGAAGUAGUUAGCCUAACCGUAAGGGGAGGGCGAUUACCACGGUAGGAUUCAUGAUCAGGGGUGAAGUCGUAACAAGGUAG
This 1459-nucleotide ribosomal RNA is filed under the name uncultured Bordetella sp. RNAcentral describes it as "partial 16S-23S ribosomal RNA intergenic spacer". It matches the Rfam family "Bacterial small subunit ribosomal RNA". The record is from RNAcentral. Lineage: Bacteria; Pseudomonadati; Pseudomonadota; Betaproteobacteria; Burkholderiales; Alcaligenaceae.